Molecule: long non-coding RNA, 971 nt
Filed under: Sorghum bicolor (sorghum)
Lineage: Eukaryota; Viridiplantae; Streptophyta; Magnoliopsida; Poales; Poaceae
Description: long non-coding RNA (SBIC_LNC018838)
Source: RNAcentral
ACCGUAGAAUUCACAAAUUUGCUCCACGCAUAGCAGCAGAGGGCAGAUUUUUUUCUUCUCUCCUGUCGCAACCGGCAGCAGCAGUCCACCUUGAUCCGUGUGCGAUUGAUGACGGCACCAGCACUGCACAACGGAGCAGCAAUGCUUGGAACAGCAGCGGCAGUAGCCGAGAUUAAUCAGGCGAAGGCACGAUCUCGCGGCCAGGAACAGACAAAUAUAGCAGUAACGCGCAGCAGAUUGGAUUUUUUUUUUCAGGACCAUGCCCACACGAUCUUGUGGCAAUAGAUCGGCCCCGUGAUCCAACUCCGCCUUGAACUCGAUCGACAACUGCGCCUUGGACUCGCCGCGUCAAGUCACCAAUUGGGAAACACGAAGAAAUCGCUGAGUGCGAUCUUGACAGCGGCGGCGCGAUGAACAGGAAAUUAAACCCUAGUUUUUUUUUUAACCUUGUGUCUAGUUUUUUUUAGUAUUUAUAUAGACGUCAGGCAUUAAAAAGAUAUUUUAUUAUUUUCGAAAUUAAGUAAUUAUAUAGAUAAAAUAAUUCAAGAAAAAUCCAAAGUUAUUGUUUAAGCCGUGAAGAAUAUCCCAAAGCUCUAAAAAUUUGGAGAAAACUAUCAGAGAUGUUAUGGAACAUGAAGAACCCAAAUAAAGUAUUUGGAGCUCAUGAUGAGAUAAUUUGGGGCAUCUAAAAAUUAGAUUUAUGCUCAUAGAAAAGGCUAGAAAAAUACCUGAGAAGUUUGUGUAGAGAUUGCUUGAUGGACGAGAAACUCAAACGAGUGACUUAGGUUUGAAAGAAAAGGUUCUGAGAGACUCUGAACGAAAUCUUGAGCUGAGAGACAAGGAAUUUGAUUAUAGAAGAAUAUAAAAGACAUGUCGGAUAAGGAAGAUCGAUCUACUAAACGUAUUUUAAAUAUUUUUCUUACUAUCAACACAUAAAGGAGCAACAAGCAUCACUUCAAAACAUAUGCACC